UCCCCUCCUCUCCUCUCCUCCACAGAUACCGCUGCUUUAAUAUUUUUUUUUCGAGAAAAAAAAAGAGAUCUAGAUAGAAAACAAGAGAUCGAGGGAGAAAAAGAUAAAGAGAGUUUGAUUCGAACCACUGAUGGUGGUUGAUUAGGGUUUUGGUUUAAAUCUGGAUCUAUCUUGCAACCAAGAAGAAGAAGGGGAUUUUGCUGUUUUAGAUGGCAGAAUACAACUGAAUCGAAGAUAAGGUUUUCUACGAAUUGGAAGAAUAAGCAAUUAUGGGUUGGAUUUGUGGAAUUUGUGUUUCUGCUGCUAGAAAUCAAGUUUGGGUUGGAGGAGAAUAAGUUAGGUUUUUGAUGAAAUUGAGUGCACAUAAAGGAGUUGAUGGUUCGAUAUUUGAUGGGUUUUGUUGAAUUGUUGAAGAUGAACCCGAGAAUGAAUUGGUUGAGUCUCUAGUGGGAUUUGAACGGAGUUUCAGCGAGAAAAGGGAUGUUAUCUGCUGUAAAUUCUUAGGGGUUUUACUGAGAAGAAAAAGAUUGAGAGUUUGUGAGAAAAUUGAGUACUAAUUUCUGACAGAGAAUACUAGGGUUUGGCAAAAUUUGGGGAUUAUCGAUUUAUGAAAUUGGGUUUAACUCGAAGGUAAUUGAGAACUGAGAUGCAAUUGAAUUCGAAAUAUAGAAGAGGAAUAGUUGAGAUGGAAAAGGAGUUAAACCUGGUGGAUGGUGAUUAAGAAGAGGAAAUUGUAGCUGGUAUUGAUGUUAAAUACAAGGGUUUGCUGUUGAAAUGGGAAUAGUAGGGCUGAUGGAAUUGCAGUGAUGCUGUUGAAGUUGCUACUGCAAUGAAGUGGUAAUACAUAGUAGAAGGGGUUUGGGAUUUGGCUUUGUGUUGAAGAUGUAGGGUUCAGUUAGGGAUGAAAUAAGACCAAGCUCAACAGGAAGAGUUUUGUUGCAGCAGUUUGGUGGUGCAGCGGCUUAGGUGUUGCAGGGAUUUGGUUGUGGUAGUAUUGUGGUAGAUGGAGUUGAGCUGGACUAUAAAAGAAGAAAUUGAGAUGGAAUCGUUGAAGUGCAAAGUGGUUCGUUGUGGUUGAGCAGGUGAUGUUGUUGUGGAAGUGCAGCUGUGAAAUAAUUGUAGGUGAUAGGUAUUGGUAGUAUGGGGAUAGAUUUUGCAAGCAAGGGCGGUCAAUCCCUUGCUGGCAGGUAAGGUAGUCCCCAAAAAUUGAAAGCGACUGGUCGAAUACCGUCGGUGGCCGGGUCGGAUCAGCAGAUCGAUGGAUCAAGCCUGGGCGGAUGUUCCGGGAUGGACAACUCCGGUAAGGCAGGAUGUACUUGGCAGGGGUGUCACUGGGAAAGUGAAUUAGUGCGGAGAUUUGAAAACGUGACGGAAAGUCGAACUAUCUGCAUCGAGAAAGGUCGAGCGAAGAGUGUUCCCCUUGGAAACAAGGGCGCUGAGGCGGUCUGGCCACGCCGGUGGGACAUCAAAUGUCUGCAACACUCACGGUCUAAACGGUGCGAGUAGCUCACGCCCAAAACCACCCAACCCGAACAAAGGAAACAAAUGAUCAUUUUCAUCUGGGUAUUGGUAGUAUGAAUGAUUACAGAGCUGAUGCUGGUGGUUGCAGUUGUUAGCCAGAAAUGCUAUGGGGAUGGUUUGCUUAUUAGAUGCAGCUGGUUUAGAAUGAACCGGAAAGGCUACUUUUGUUAAAAGACAUCUUACCUGAGAAUUCGAGAAGAAAUACGAACGGAAGUAGUUUUGAUAGUGAUUUUUGUUAAUUUAUAGUUUGAUUUUGGCUGUUGAUAAUGAUUUUUGUUAAUUGAUAGUUUGAUUUUGGUUAUUGAUAAGAAUCUUUUUCUUGUUGUUAAUUUUGCAACUACAAUUGGUGUUGAAGUUUAUCCAUUGGAUUUCCACACAAACGUUGGACCAAUUAUGUACUACUGGUGGUCAAGAGAAGUUUGGUGGCCUUAGAGAUGGACACUAGUUGAUCCAGUUGUUUAUAAUAUGAUUCAUGAAGAUCCUGGAAACUUGAGCUACUCGGCUGUUGGUGGAUUAUCUGAUCAGAUUAGAGAAGUAAAAGAAUGUAUUGACCUACCUCUUAUGAACCCUGAACUCUUCCAAAGGGUUGGGAUCAAACCCCCCAUGGGCAUACUUCUUUACUGGCCUAGGAUAUAUUAGACGGGGUUGAUAGAAAGACUUCAGUGUCAAUGACUGUCUGUUCAAUUGAUAUGAUUUUUUUGAAAAGUUACUCUCGGAAGCUUCCCAGUGAAUAAACCGACUUUUGAAGGAGCGUUAGCAUCCCAAAAAAAGAUCCAAUAAUUACCUGCUUCUUAAUCUUUCUGUUAUCAGAGCGUAAUUGUGAAAUUUGGACCAAGUAGGGAUUGGAUUUUGGUUAUGUAGCUAUCUUGAUUGGUUUCUUCAUUGAAGUAUGUUGUUUAUUGCUUCUGGCUUCUGCUACAGGUCGUUCACUUUCUAACCACCAGCUGAGGAUGAUGACGAUGAUUCUGAUGUUGACCUUUUUGGAGAGGAGACAGAGGAGGAAAAGAAGGCUGCAGAAGAACGUGCAGCAGCUGUCAAAGCCUCUUGCAAGAAGAAAGAAUCCGGAAAGUCUUCAAUUUUGUUGGAUGUGCAGCCAUGGGAUGACGAGACAGAUAUGGCAAAGCUUGAGGAAACCAUGAGGAGUAUCCAGAUGGAAGGCCUCACAUGGGGAAUGUGCAAUUGGAUAUGGUAUCGAGAAGUUGCAAAUUAUGAUGAAAAUUGUGGAUGACUUGGUAUCCAUCGAUUCCCUUAUUGGAUUUUGGUUAAGUGGUCUAUGACACUUCACGUCUAAGCCAGUGCCUCUAUGGUAUCAUCUACCGCCAUGUUUCUCAUAAUCGUUGUUUGGUUUACCAAGAAGAGAGUGCGCAGCAAAAGCGGAUCAUUUCCAUUUAGCAAUGUAACCCGACCACCAUAUUGGAAUGUGUAUGCUACUGCCAUAUUUGCAGGGGAGUCCAACAUAUGCGUUUUACUAUUUAUGUGAUAUUUUUGGUCAUGUAAAAAAAUCUAUCAUUUUCUUUUCUUUCGUUGCGCAACACACUUUCAUACAAGGUGAUUGGUAGGUUAACUUGAAUGAAUGAAAUUGGAGUGACAGGUUAAUUUGAAUGAAUGUAAAUUUGUUACACUGGCA
This is an RNA transcript of Papaver somniferum (opium poppy), 3148 nucleotides long. It is a transcript of the gene named elongation factor 1-delta 1-like, with no coding region annotated. The transcript is spliced from 6 exons. The record is from RefSeq and is a predicted model, not a curated record. NCBI's taxonomy places the organism in Eukaryota, Viridiplantae, Streptophyta, Magnoliopsida, Ranunculales, Papaveraceae.